Molecule: ribosomal RNA, 253 nt
Filed under: uncultured bacterium
Lineage: Bacteria
Description: partial 16S ribosomal RNA
Rfam family: Bacterial small subunit ribosomal RNA
Source: RNAcentral
UACGAAGGGGGCUAGCGUUGUUCGGAAUCACUGGGCGUAAAGCGCACGUGGGCGGAUUCUUAAGUCAGGGGUGAAAUGCCGAGGCUCAACCUCGGAACUGCCUUUGAUACUGGGGAUCUUGAGUCCGGGAGAGGUGAGUGGAACUGCGAGUGUAGAGGUGAAAUUCGUAGAUAUUCGCAGGAACACCAGUGGCGAAGGCGGCUCACUGGCCCGGAACUGACGCUGAGGUGCGAAAGCGUGGGGAGCAAACAGG